AGCCUAUAAACUUAUGUUAUCGAAAUGUAUAAUGAAUUUCGUCCAAAAAAGUCUAUAAAAACCUUUUAAUUGGCUAUACAGAAUGAGAACAUAAUAAUGUUGAUAUAAAGUGGCUAAUUUAAACAAAUGAUUUAUUUCUGGUGAUGUUUCUCAAUUCAAAUUGGGCAAGUCGAACUUUAUUGUAUCUAAACUUAUGUUAUUUUUAAAGAAAAAUACACAAAUAAUUUCAUCCAAAAGCGUCUGGAAAAACCUGUUAGUUAGUUAUAAAUAAUGAAAACGUAAUAAAGUUGAUAAAAAGUUGCUAAUAUAAUCAAAUAAAUUAUAUUUGGUGCCACUUUUGAAUUCAAAAUUGGGGAAGUCGAAUUUAUAGCCUCUUAACUUACGUUAUCGAAAUGUAUAAUGAAUUUCGUCCAAAAGCGUUUAUAAAAACCUUUUAAUUGGCUAUAUAGAAAGAGAACAUAAUAAUGUUGAUAUAAAGUUGCUAAUUUAGUCAAAUGAUUUAUUUCUGGUGACGUUUCUCAAUUCAAAAUGGGCAAGUCGAACUUUAGUGUAUCUAAACUUAUGUUAUUUUUAAAGAAAAAUAUACAAAUAAUUUUAUCCAAAAGCGUCUAGAAAAAUCUGUUACAUAGUUAUAAAUAAUGAAAACGUUAGAAAAUUGAUAAAAAGUAGCUAAUAUAAUCAAAUAAAUUAUAUUUUGUGCCAGUUUUGAAUUCAAAUUUGGGGAAGUCUAAUUUAUAGCCUCUAAACUUACGUUAUCGAAAUGUAUAAUGAAUUUCGUCCAAAAGCGUCUAUAAAAACCUUUUAAUUGGCUAUAUAGAGUGAGAACAUAAUAAUGUUGAUAUAAAGUUGCUAAUUUAAUCAAAUGAAUUAUUUCUGGAGACACUUCUCAAUUCAAAUUGGGCAAGUCGAACUUUAUUGCAUCUAAACUUAUGUGAUUUUUAAAGAGUAGUAUACAAAUAAUUUCAUCGAAAACCAUCUAGAAAAACCUGUUAGUUGGUUAUAAAUAAUGAAAACGAAAUAAGGUUGAUAAAAAGUUGCUAAUAUAACCAAAUAAAUUAUAUUUGGUGCCAGUUUUGAAUUCAAAAUUGGGGAAAUCUAAUUUAUAGCCUCCAAACUUAUGUUAUCGAAAUGUAUAAUGAAUUUCGUCCUAAAGCGUCUAUAAUAACCUUUUAUUUGGCUAUAUAGAAUGAGAACAUAAUAAUGUUAAUAUAAAGUUGCUAAUUUAAUCAAAUGAAUUAUUUCCGUUGACACUUCUCAAUUCAAAUUGGGCAAGUCGAACUUUAUUGCAUCUAAACUUAUGUUAUUUUUAAAGAGAAAUAUACAAAUAAUUUCAUCCAUAAGCGCCUAGAAAAACCUGUUAGUUAGUUAUAAAUAAUGAAAACGUAAUAAAGUUGAUAAAAAGUUGCUAUUAUAAUCAAAUAAAUUAUAUUUGGUGCCAGUUUUGAAUUUAAAAUUGGGGAAGUCGAAUUUAUUGCCUAUAAACUUACGUUAUCUAAAUGUAUAAUGAAUUUCGUUCAAAAGCGUCUAUAAAAACCUUUUAAUUGGCUAUAUAGAAACACAACAUAAUAAUGUUGAUAAAAAGUUGCUAAUUUAAUCAAACNAAUGUUGAUAUAAAGUUGCUAAUUUAAUCAAAUGAAUUAUUUCUGGAGACACUUCUCAAUUCAAAUUGGGCAAGUCGAACUUUAUUGCAUCUAAACUUAUGUGAUUUUUAAAGAGUAGUAUACAAAUAAUUUCAUCGAAAACCAUCUAGAAAAACCUGUUAGUUGGUUAUAAAUAAUGAAAACGAAAUAAGGUUGAUAAAAAGUUGCU
RNAcentral lists this long non-coding RNA (1809 nucleotides) under Lactuca sativa (garden lettuce). RNAcentral describes it as "long non-coding RNA (LSAT_LNC010303)". The record is from RNAcentral. Lineage: Eukaryota; Viridiplantae; Streptophyta; Magnoliopsida; Asterales; Asteraceae.